GACGAACGCUGGCGGCGUGCCUAAUACAUGCCAGUAGAACGCUGAAGGAGGAGCUUGCUUCUCUGGAUGAGUUGCGAACGGGUGAGUAACGCGUAGGUAACCUGCCUGGUAGCGGGGGAUAACUAUUGGAAACGAUAGCUAAUACCGCAUAAUAGCAGUUAUUGCAUGAUAACUGUUUGAAAGGUGCAAUUGCACCACUACCAGAUGGACCUGCGUUGUAUUAGCUAGUUGGUGGGGUAACGGCUCACCAAGGCGACGAUACAUAGCCGACCUGAGAGGGUGAUCGGCCACACUGGGACUGAGACACGGCCCAGACUCCUACGGGAGGCAGCAGUAGGGAAUCGUCGGCAAUGGACGGAAGUCUGACCGAGCAACGCCGCGUGAGUGAAGAAGGGUUUCGGAUCGUAAAGCUCUGUUGUAAGAGAAGAACGAGUGUGAGAGUGGAAAGUUCACACUGUGACGGUAUCUUACCAGAAAGGGACGGCUAACUACGUG
Molecule: ribosomal RNA, 495 nt
Filed under: uncultured bacterium
Lineage: Bacteria
Description: partial 16S ribosomal RNA
Rfam family: Bacterial small subunit ribosomal RNA
Source: RNAcentral